AGUGAACGCUGGCGGUAGGCCUAACACAUGCAAGUCGAACGGCAGCACAGUAAGAGCUUGCUCUUACGGGUGGCGAGUGGCGGACGGGUGAGGUAUACAUCGGAAUCUACUUUUUCGUGGGGGAUAACGUAGGGAAACUUACGCUAAUACCGCAUACGACCUACGGGUGAAAGCAGGGGAUCUUCGGACCUUGCGCGAUUGAAUGAGCCGAUGUCGGAUUAGCUAGUUGGCGGGGUAAAGGCCCACCAAGGCGACGAUCCGUAGCUGGUCUGAGAGGAUGAUCAGCCACACUGGAACUGAGACACGGUCCAGACUCCUACGGGAGGCAGCAGUGGGGAAUACUGGACAAUGGGCGCAAGCCUGAUCCAGCCAUACCGCGUGGGUGAAGAAGGCCUUCGGGUUGUAAAGCCCUUUUGUUGGGAAAGAAAAGCAGCAGGUUAAUACCCCGCUGUUCUGACGGUACCCAAAGAAUAAGCACCGGCUAACUUCGUG
This 492-nucleotide ribosomal RNA is filed under the name uncultured bacterium. RNAcentral's name for it is "partial 16S ribosomal RNA". It matches the Rfam family "Bacterial small subunit ribosomal RNA", at positions 29 to 507 of the family's 1533-position model. The record is from RNAcentral.